UGGGGAAUAUUGGGCAAUGGAGGAAACUCUGACCCAGCGACGCCGCGUGCGGGAUGAAGGCCUUCGGGUUGUAAACCGCUUUCAGCAGGGAAGAAGCGAAAGUGACGGUACCUGCAGAAGAAGCACCGGCUAACUAUGUGCCAGCAGCCGCGGUAAUACAUAGGGUGCAAGCGUUGUCCGGAAUUAUUGGGCGUAAAGAGCUCGUAGGUGGUUCGUCACGUCGGAUGUGAAACUCUGGGGCUUAACCCCAGACCUGCAUUCGAUACGGGCGGGCUUGAGUAUGGUAGGGGAGUCUGGAAUUCCUGGUGUAGCGGUGGAAUGCGCAGAUAUCAGGAGGAACACCAAUGGCGAAGGCAGGACUCUGGGCCAUUACUGACACUGAGGAGCGAAAGCGUGGGGAGCGAACA
Molecule: ribosomal RNA, 407 nt
Filed under: uncultured bacterium
Lineage: Bacteria
Description: bacterial SSU rRNA
Rfam family: Bacterial small subunit ribosomal RNA
Source: RNAcentral